GACGAACGCUGGCGGCGUGCUUAACACAUGCAAGUCGAACGGAAAGGCCCUGCUUUUGUGGGGUGCUCGAGUGGCGAACGGGUGAGUAACACGUGAGUAACCUGCCCUUGACUUUGGGAUAACUUCAGGAAACUGGGGCUAAUACCGGAUAGGAGCUCCUGCUGCAUGGUGGGGGUUGGAAAGUUUCGGCGGUUGGGGAUGGACUCGCGGCUUAUCAGCUUGUUGGUGGGGUAGUGGCUUACCAAGGCUUUGACGGGUAGCCGGCCUGAGAGGGUGACCGGCCACAUUGGGACUGAGAUACGGCCCAGACUCCUACGGGAGGCAGCAGUGGGGAAUAUUGCACAAUGGGCGGAAGCCUGAUGAAGCAACGCCGCGUGCGGGAUGACGGCCUUCGGGUUGUAAACCGCUUUCGCCUGUGACGAAGCGUGAGUGACGGUAAUGGGUAAAGAAGCACCGGCUGACUACGUG
RNAcentral lists this ribosomal RNA (468 nucleotides) under uncultured bacterium. RNAcentral describes it as "partial 16S ribosomal RNA". It matches the Rfam family "Bacterial small subunit ribosomal RNA", at positions 28 to 507 of the family's 1533-position model. The record is from RNAcentral.